AUGGCCAGGCCACAGUCCUGCAUCUGACAGGGCUGUGGACGAAAGCCGAGUCUGUCCUGGAGCAGCUGGGCCUGGGCAGGUCUGAGCCCGUGUGAGGAACAUUCCUGCAGAUGCACAGCAUGCAGAGGGCAGGCGGGGCUGACGCACACACUUCUCCCCAGUGAAUUCUGGAGGCUGGAGUCAACCUAUAGAAAGUCUUCCAUGAGGCCGAAAUUGGAGUGUGUGAUGGGGGUGGCUCCUGGGUCUCAUGGAGUUCCUCAGAGAGCUUCUGCCUGAGUUAUCUAUUGGUAUUCUGCAGCAGCUGCCUCACAGAGCCUGGAGAGCUCCAGCAAGGAUGGGCCGGAACUCCAGCUGCUGGGUUGUAUAGUCUUCCAAUGUCUGCAAUUCCCUUAAUGGCCAUUAGAGUCGCGGACGAGAAAAAAACUCUUCAGAAAACGGUGUGAAUAAUGGGAGCAAGAGAAGAAGUUCCUGGUUAUAGCCCACUCAUAUAUUUUUGAAAUAUAGGUCAGAUCUAGAGGAAAUGAAAGAAACUUCCUGUUGAAUUUUCAUUUAUAGUAUGUGUCUGGAAAUCUCUAAAUGUAAUUUCUUGGUGUAAAAUAAACUGCAGAAAUCUGGGAUGUGUCAGUCUGCUUUAUGUUUAUUGAAGCCAUUCUAUUUG
RNAcentral lists this long non-coding RNA (658 nucleotides) under Homo sapiens (human). RNAcentral describes it as "HSALNT0078498". The record is from RNAcentral. Lineage: Eukaryota; Metazoa; Chordata; Mammalia; Primates; Hominidae.